Molecule: long non-coding RNA, 1382 nt
Organism: Pseudophryne corroboree (corroboree frog)
Lineage: Eukaryota; Metazoa; Chordata; Amphibia; Anura; Myobatrachidae
Exons: 3
Source: RefSeq, a predicted model, not a curated record
AUAAAAUGAAACAUGGUUUAUUCGAUCAAGAAUAUUACAAUAUUUGCAACUUCAAUGUUUGGCUUUUUAAGGUCAUGUUUUCUGGAUUUCUGUCUGUGGAAACAGGUUGGACAAUUACUGACGCAGCAAAACAGAUUUACUUACAUGUGUGCAUGAUUGAUGAAAUCCGUAAAAUAUGACCCGAUGGUGGUACUUAAGGACUAGAGGUAGUGACAUUAAUAACAAAGGAACUAACACAAAGAGAACUUGUUGAGAUCGGAAUCAGUAUGAUAUCCCAGCUGUUGGGAUCCCGUUGGUCAGCAUACCGACUACGGAAUCCUGACAGCUGGAAUACCGGUGGCGAGUACAGCGUGUCUGCUAGCCACACUUUGGGCCCUGUGGUGACCUUAGGUCACCACUCUAAUCUAUUCCCGCUCGGGUGGGAUCCGGGUGGUGGUCGGAAUUAUGACCACCAGCAUUUCACUUUGUGUCAGGAUUUCGGAGUCGCUAUUUUGACCGUUGGGAUCCCAGCAGCCGGCAACGUGAUUGCCUCCCGUCACAUUGUCUGGAGAAAGAACAUAUCCUAUAAACUUUAUGUUAAAAAUAAAGAAUGAAUACAGAUACAUUAAAAUGAAGAACGACAUUGUUUUUCUUAUGGAAAUCUGCAUCUGCUUGAUAAGUCACAUAAGUACCUUCAAAAUUAAAAAAUUAGAGUUGCAUCCAAGAUGGAUAAACUUCAAGAUAGCUGCCAUACUAGUCACAUACCUUAAAACUUUUUCCCUCACUCCCAUAUCAUAUUGGUAAACAGUGGAUUAAUAUUUCCUUACUAAUCUCCUUUUUAUAAAAGGUGCUUCCACACUUAUGGGCCACCCUGUAUUUUCAUGGCUUUAUAUGCAAAUGAAUAAAAGCAUGCCCAUAGUAUUGUUUUCAUUCAGUGAAUACUGAUAGUUUACAGAUCCCUAAUAUAACGUACUAGAUCACUCAUUUAAAAUCAUUUCCCUCUAUGAGCAAAAUAGAGCACUUCAACUGAUUCAUUUGUCAACAUCUUGUACCUGUGUUGACUUUUAUGUUUUAGGCUCUACAAUAUGUCCAUAUUUUUAUGGAAUUGCCCAAAAGAAAGAUUUGUUAGUAAAUAAAAUAAGACCUUAAUUAAUGAGUAAAAAGUUUUGUUUUGCCCCCUUGUCACGCAAUAUAACUCUGAUAUACAAAUCAAACAAAUAUUGAAGAAUAACUGGUAUGUUCUGAAGUUAGAUACAGUAUUAGCAGAAUAUCUUCCUGAAAGACCAAAUGUGCUUUUUAAAAAGGCAAAGUGGGGAAUUAAAUUGUUUGAAAAGUCGGUUGGGUGUCUGUUUUUUCCUGUCUAUUAAACACCCAGCUGACUUUUCAAACAAUUCAAUACCCCC